UAGUCCGGGGGGACUGGUAAAAUGGGAUAAUCCCCGGCAGACCACCGAUGGCGAAGGCAUCUGACCAGAACGGAUCUGACGGUGAGGGACGAAAGCCAGGGGGGCGAACCGGAUUAGAUACCCGAGUAGUCCUGGCUGUAAACGCUGUGUGCUAGGUGUUGCGCCUACUAUUGGUAUGCGCAGUGUCGAAACGAAGGUAUUAAGCACACCGCCUGGGAAGUACGGCCGCAAGACUGAAACUUUAAGGAAU
RNAcentral lists this ribosomal RNA (250 nucleotides) under uncultured archaeon. Its description in RNAcentral is "partial 16S ribosomal RNA". It matches the Rfam family "Archaeal small subunit ribosomal RNA", at positions 616 to 865 of the family's 1478-position model. The record is from RNAcentral.